CGAACGGGUGAGUAAUGCGUGACCAACCUGCCCCAUGCUCCAGAAUAGCUCUUGGAAACGGGUGGUAAUGCUGGAUGCUCCAACUUGACGCAUGUCUUGUUGGGAAAGUGUUUAGUGGCAUGGGAUGGGGUCGCGUCCUAUCAGCUUGUAGGCGGGGUAACGGCCCACCAAGGCGACGAUCAGUAGGGGUUCUGAGAGGAAGGUCCCCCACAUUGGAACUGAGACACGGUCCAAACUCCUACGGGAGGCAGCAGAG
This 256-nucleotide ribosomal RNA is filed under the name uncultured Gardnerella sp. Its description in RNAcentral is "partial 16S ribosomal RNA". It matches the Rfam family "Bacterial small subunit ribosomal RNA", at positions 99 to 354 of the family's 1533-position model. Lineage: Bacteria; Bacillati; Actinomycetota; Actinomycetes; Bifidobacteriales; Bifidobacteriaceae. The record is from RNAcentral.